This 394-nucleotide ribosomal RNA is filed under the name Lysinibacillus sp. ST3. RNAcentral describes it as "bacterial SSU rRNA". It matches the Rfam family "Bacterial small subunit ribosomal RNA", at positions 1115 to 1499 of the family's 1533-position model. The record is from RNAcentral. Lineage: Bacteria; Bacillati; Bacillota; Bacilli; Caryophanales; Bacillaceae.
AAACAAGUGCAACUUAGUUGGGCCCUCUAGGUGACUGCCGGUGACAACCGGAGGAAGGUGGGGAUGACGUCAAAUCAUCAUGCCCCUUAUGACCUGGGCUACACACGUGCUACAAUGGACGAUACAAACGGUUGCCAACUCGCGAGAGGGAGCUAAUCCGAUAAAGUCGUUCUCAGUUCGGAUUGUAGGCUGCAACUCGCCUACAUGAAGCCGGAAUCGCUAGUAAUCGCGGAUCAGCAUGCCGCGGUGAAUACGUUCCCGGGCCUUGUACACACCGCCCGUCACACCACGAGAGUUUGUAACACCCGAAGUCGGUGAGGUAACCUUUUGGAGCCAGCCCGCCGCAAGGUGUGGAUAGAAUGGAUAUGUGGGUGUAAGAUCCGUAACAAGGGGU